RNAcentral lists this transfer RNA (74 nucleotides) under Neotoma lepida (desert woodrat). It matches the Rfam family "tRNA". From Rfam's summary of the family: Transfer RNA (tRNA) molecules are approximately 80 nucleotides in length. Their secondary structure includes four short double-helical elements and three loops (D, anti-codon, and T loops). Lineage: Eukaryota; Metazoa; Chordata; Mammalia; Rodentia; Cricetidae. The record is from Rfam by way of RNAcentral.
GUCUCCGUGGCUCAAUCAGUCAGCGCGUUCGUUUGUUAAACAAAAGGUUAAUGGUUCGAGCCCACCUGGGGACG